GACGAACGCUGGCGGCGUGCUUAACACAUGCAAGUCGAACGGUAAGGCCCUUCGGGGUACACGAGUGGCGAACGGGUGAGUAACACGUGGGUGAUCUGCCCUGAACUUCGGGAUAAGCCUGGGAAACUGGGUCUAAUACCGGAUAGGACCACUGCCUGCAUGGGUGGUGGUGGAAAGCUUUUGCGGUGUGGGAUGGGCCCGCGGCCUAUCAGCUUGUUGGUGGGGUGAUGGCCUACCAAGGCGACGACGGGUAGCCGGCCUGAGAGGGUGACCGGCCAGACUGGGACUGAGAUACGGCCCAGACUCCUACGGGAGGCAGCAGUGGGGAAUAUUGCACAAUGGGCGCAAGCCUGAUGCAGCGAAGCCGCGUGAGGGAUGACGGCCUUCGGGUUGUAAACCUCUUUCAGCACCGACGAAGCGCAAGUGACGGUAGGUGCAGAAGAAGGACCGGCCAACUACGUGCCAGCCGCCGCCGUAA
Molecule: ribosomal RNA, 478 nt
Filed under: uncultured bacterium
Lineage: Bacteria
Description: partial 16S ribosomal RNA
Rfam family: Bacterial small subunit ribosomal RNA
Source: RNAcentral